AGGAUGGCAUCUACGCAGCUCAACUCGUGAACUACUAGGCCCCCCAGGGGUCCAGCAGGGUGGCUGGUGACAGGCCUGGGCCUCUGCAACUGCCCUGACAGGACCGAGGGGCCUUGCCCCUCCACCUGGUGCCCAAGCCUCCUGCCCCACCGUCUGGAUCAGUGUCCUCAAGGCCCCUGGCCCUUACUGAGCCUACAGGGUCCUGGGCCAUGUGGGUGGUGCUUCUGGAUGUCUGUCUCUUAUUUACCUGUAGAAGGAACUUUGGGGUGCAGCCAGGACCCGGUAGGCCUGAGCCUCAACUCUUCAGAAAAUAGAGUGUUUUUAAUAUUCCGAGCUAGAGCUCUUCUUUCUACGUUUGUAGUCAGCACACUGGGAAACUGGGCCAGCGUGGGGCUCCCUGCCUUCUGGACUCCUGAAGGUCGUGGAUGGGCGGAAGGCACACAGCCCGUGCCGGCUGAUGGGACGGGGGUCAGGCAUCCUGUCUGUGGCCUUCUGGGGCACCGAUUCUACCAGGCCCUCCAGCUGCGUGGUCUCCGCAGACCAAGCUCUGGGUGGGCUAGAGGAAUGUCGCCCAUUACUCCUCAGGCCUGGCCCUCGGGCCUCCGUGAUGGGAGCCCCCAGGAGGGGUCAGAUGCUGGAAGGGGCCGCUUUCUGGGGAGUGAGGUGAAGACAUAGCGGCCCAGGCGCUGCCUUCACUCCUGGAGUUUCCAUUUCCAGCUGGAAUCUGCAGCCACCCCCAU
This 740-nucleotide small RNA is filed under the name Pongo abelii (Sumatran orangutan). RNAcentral's name for it is "processed transcript". The record is from RNAcentral. Lineage: Eukaryota; Metazoa; Chordata; Mammalia; Primates; Hominidae.